UAAUACGAAGGGGGCUAGCGUUGUUCGGAAUUACUGGGCGUAAAGGGCGCGUAGGCGGUUGGAAUCGUCGGAUGUGAAAGGCCUGGGCUUAACCUGGGAACGGCAUUCGAUACGGUCUGACUAGAGUGUGGGAGAGGAUGGUGGAAUUCCCAGUGUAGAGGUGAAAUUCGUAGAUAUUGGGAAGAACACCGGUGGCGAAGGCGGCCAUCUGGACCACAACUGACGCUGAGGCGCGAAAGCGUGGGGAGCAAACAGGAUUAGAUACCCUGGUAGUCCACGCUGUAAACGAUGUGUGCUAGAUGUUGGGAGACCUAGUCUCUCGGUGUCGUCGCUAACGCUUUAAGCACACCGCCUGGGGAGUACGGUCGCAAGAUUA
RNAcentral lists this ribosomal RNA (376 nucleotides) under uncultured bacterium. Its description in RNAcentral is "bacterial SSU rRNA". It matches the Rfam family "Bacterial small subunit ribosomal RNA", at positions 521 to 896 of the family's 1533-position model. The record is from RNAcentral.